This 251-nucleotide long non-coding RNA is filed under the name Carica papaya (papaya). RNAcentral's name for it is "long non-coding RNA (CPAP_LNC003835)". Lineage: Eukaryota; Viridiplantae; Streptophyta; Magnoliopsida; Brassicales; Caricaceae. The record is from RNAcentral.
AGGGGGUCCCGCUACCCGUGAACCCUUAACACUCGUAAUCAGAUUCCAGGGCCGUCCCCAUACCCCGUCCGGUAUGGGCGCCAAAACUAUAAACCUCAAUACCCCGUCUGGUAUGAGGAUGAAACGGGCCUUCCCCAUACCCCGUCCGGUAUGAGAGACCACAAUCCCGGUAGGGUUCCCUACGGACCCGGUCCGUCCACCAUCUCCCAGGAUAUCUAGUCAGGUUGACCACAUUAUACAAUUAUCAAUUU